Molecule: transfer RNA, 74 nt
Filed under: Lactiplantibacillus plantarum
Lineage: Bacteria; Bacillati; Bacillota; Bacilli; Lactobacillales; Lactobacillaceae
Description: Lactobacillus plantarum tRNA-Met
Rfam family: tRNA
About the family: Transfer RNA (tRNA) molecules are approximately 80 nucleotides in length. Their secondary structure includes four short double-helical elements and three loops (D, anti-codon, and T loops).
Source: RNAcentral
GGACCUUUAGCUCAGUUGGUUAGAGCAGAUGGCUCAUAACCGUCCGGUCGUUGCUUCGAGUCCAACAAGGUCGA